Molecule: long non-coding RNA, 260 nt
Filed under: Elaeis guineensis (African oil palm)
Lineage: Eukaryota; Viridiplantae; Streptophyta; Magnoliopsida; Arecales; Arecaceae
Description: long non-coding RNA (EGUI_LNC015541)
Source: RNAcentral
CUGGAUGUGAAGGGGAGACUUCAGGAUAAAGGAAGACAUGAUACUGGAUCUAAUGAUGAGGACGACAGAAACAUAACAGACAAUUAGUAAGAUUUAUUUUCAAUUCUUAAUUUCUUAAAAUUUUAUAUUUUUACUUUUUAUUUAUUGAGACAAUUCACAUCUAUUUUUUUCUCUCUCCCUUAUUGUAUUCUAGAGGUCAGGCCUAGCCCCCCUCCAUCUUUUGUAUAAUUUUGAUUUAUAUUAAUAAACUAGUAGGAGUC